RNAcentral lists this ribosomal RNA (440 nucleotides) under uncultured bacterium. RNAcentral describes it as "partial 16S ribosomal RNA". It matches the Rfam family "Bacterial small subunit ribosomal RNA", at positions 338 to 795 of the family's 1533-position model. The record is from RNAcentral.
CCUACGGGAGGCAGCAGUGGGGAAUAUUGCACAAUGGGGGAAACCCUGAUGCAGCGACGCCGCGUGAAGGAUGAAGUAUUUCGGUAUGUAAACUUCUAUCAGCAGGGAAGAAAAUGACGGUACCUGACUAAGAAGCCCCGGCUAACUACGUGCCAGCAGCCGCGGGAAUACGUAGGGGGCACGCGUUAUCCGGAUUUACUGGGUGUAAAGGGAGCGUAGACGGCAUGGCAAGUCUGAUGUGAAAACCCGGGGCUCAACCCCGGGACUGCAUUGGAAACUGUCAGGCUAGAGUGUCGGAGAGGCAAGUGGAAUGCGUGGUGUAGCGGUGAAAUGCGUAGAUAUUAGGAGGAACACCAGUGGCGAAGGCAGCUUGCUGGACGAUGACUGACGUUGAGGCUCGAAAGCGUGGGGAGCGAACAGGAUUAGAUACCCUAGUAGUC